GUGCUCUCUAUUAUCUCUAUCAUCUCAUCUCGUUACUAGAAAUCUCAUUUCUCUCCUCACAACAGUUACCAAGGAGCAAUUUCAUUUCUUCAUUUGCUCCAUCCUCAAAACUCAAAUAGGAUGGAGCAAGAUCAAAGAGUUAAGAGGACGCGGAAAAAAUAAAUGCUUCUGGAUAGACAAUGGGGUCCAAGUAUUAAUUGCAACUCUUCAAGAUAUGUUUUAUGAUCCUUCGUGGAAGACAGAUGGUGGUUUUAAAAGUAAUUACAUGGUUGAGGUGCAUAGGAGAAUGCUAAGUAAAGUGGAUGUCAAUGGAAUGAUAUGGAGAAAAAAAUAGCAUGUGAAAAUCAAUGGUUUGAUAGCUAUUGUCAGAGGUUAAAGGAAUGUGGGAUUUCAAAUUUUCAUAUUUGAAUCAACUUGAAUUAGUCAAUGGAAGGGAUAGAGCUACUGGCGCUGUUGUUCAAGGGUAUGUAGAUGCUAUUCACAAUUUGGAAGUUUAUCAAAAUGAUGAAAGUGGAGGUGAAAAUCUAGGCGUAUUCUACCAUUCUUCAAAUGAGUACAAAGAAGACAAUAAUGUGUAUUUUGAAUUAGAAUCAAGCCUAACUACUUCACACAACACUGAUGUGACAAAGUCAGCUACAAAACAAAAACCAUUAACAAUUGGAGAUAAAGUUGCAAAGAAAAAAAAACAACAGCGACACACUUGGAUAUUAGGACACAACUACACGACAUGAACAGACUUUACACUUUUGUGGAUGGUUUUAAUGUAAAAUUUUCAACCGUUGCAAAUGUCAUAGUAGAAGAGAAUUUGUGGGAAACAAAUGGCUU
Zingiber officinale is the source of this 825-nucleotide long non-coding RNA. RefSeq lists it as uncharacterized. The record is from RefSeq and is a predicted model, not a curated record. The transcript is spliced from 4 exons. Lineage: Eukaryota; Viridiplantae; Streptophyta; Magnoliopsida; Zingiberales; Zingiberaceae.